UGGGCCGUGGCCAAGUGGUAAGGCACCAGGUUUUGGUCCUGGCAUUCGCAGGUUCGAAUCCUGCCGGCCCAGCCA
This 75-nucleotide transfer RNA is filed under the name Candidatus Saccharibacteria bacterium RAAC3_TM7_1. Its description in RNAcentral is "tRNA-Gln (TTG) (tRNA-Gln-TTG-1-1)". It matches the Rfam family "tRNA". Rfam says of the family: Transfer RNA (tRNA) molecules are approximately 80 nucleotides in length. Their secondary structure includes four short double-helical elements and three loops (D, anti-codon, and T loops). RNAcentral also lists the same sequence under 1 other name. The record is from RNAcentral. Lineage: Bacteria; Candidatus Saccharimonadota.